AUACUUACCUGGUGUCGGGAUUACCGUGAUCAACGAGGCGGUGUCUCCAGCAAGAGGCGCGGGCAUUGCACUGCGCUCGUGCUGACUGCUGCCACUACCCCAAACUGGGGCAGAUGGGGCAUGCAAUUUUUGGUAGUGGGGAAUGCGUUCGCGCUAUCCCCC
This 162-nucleotide small nuclear RNA is filed under the name Rhipicephalus microplus (southern cattle tick). Its description in RNAcentral is "U1 spliceosomal RNA". It matches the Rfam family "U1 spliceosomal RNA". From Rfam's summary of the family: U1 is a small nuclear RNA (snRNA) component of the spliceosome (involved in pre-mRNA splicing). Its 5' end forms complementary base pairs with the 5' splice junction, thus defining the 5' donor site of an intron. Lineage: Eukaryota; Metazoa; Arthropoda; Arachnida; Ixodida; Ixodidae. The record is from Rfam by way of RNAcentral.